This 1078-nucleotide long non-coding RNA is filed under the name Ananas comosus (pineapple). Its description in RNAcentral is "long non-coding RNA (ACOM_LNC011158)". The record is from RNAcentral. Lineage: Eukaryota; Viridiplantae; Streptophyta; Magnoliopsida; Poales; Bromeliaceae.
AUGGAUGGAUGCAAGUACCGGUGGUGGGGAUUACGAAGGGGGUUGCGGAUGUUGUCUUGAAGAUCUUCUUGACGUCUUCGAGAAGCGUCUUUGUCAGAGCGGGCACGGCGGGAGAUCGGUAGUCCUCGUUAUUGCGGUUCAUCGCCCGAAUCACCGGCUCGGGGAUGUUCACCGGCCCCGGCACGAACAGGUGGUUUCUCCCAGGUCCAUACACAUAAUCCAUCUUCUUCUUCUUCUUUUUUCUUUCUUUCUCUUUUUUUUUUUUUUUAACUUAACCUGUGAGAAAAUACACCCUGCUUGCUUUUAGGGCCCCGAAAAUACUACUUUCGAACAUGGUCCCUAAAAAUCAAAGUUUUUUUUUUUUUUUUUUCCCCAGAUAGAUAUUAAAUGGGAAAUGGAACCAAUUGAGUGGCUUAAGCGCGUGACGGAUACGUGUAAUUUCUAAUAUUUAAUGGGGGUAAGACGGAAAAGGCCAGCGUUCCAUUCGUACCGAAGGAAAAAGAAGAGGACUUUUUUUUUCUCUCACUCUCUCUCUCUCUCUCUCUUUUUUCCUUUGUUUGUGAGGUCCUCUUAUACGCAAAGUGGAAAGAGACGGAUGCGUCAUGGCCGCCACGUGUUUUUUUUUUUUGUUUUUUUACAAUGAGUCGCUGUGAUGACGAUCUUCGAAAAAUGAAAUCAAGUGCAAUUUGGAGGCAACUGUAUUUAUCAAACUACUAUUAAAACAAAUAAUUGGUUGUUAGCUUAGAAGAGUUUUUUUUUUUGNGUGGAUGGAUGGAAGUACCGGUGGUGGGGAUUACGAAGGGGGUUGCGGAUGUUGUCUUGAAGAUCUUCUUGACGUCUUCGAGAAGCGUCUUUGUCAGAGCGGGCACGGCGGGAGAUCGGUAGUCCUCGUUAUUGCGGUUCAUCGCCCGAAUCACCGGCUCGGGGAUGUUCACCGGCCCCGGCACGAACAGGUGGUUUCUCCCAGGUCCAUACACAUAAUCCAUCUUCUUCUUCUUCUUCUUCUUUUCUUUCUUUCUCUUUUUUUUUUUUUAACUUAACCUGUGAGAAAAUACACCCUGCUUGCUUUUAGGGCCCC